Hemicordylus capensis (graceful crag lizard) is the source of this 1864-nucleotide long non-coding RNA. RefSeq lists it as uncharacterized. NCBI's taxonomy places the organism in Eukaryota, Metazoa, Chordata, Lepidosauria, Squamata, Cordylidae. The record is from RefSeq and is a predicted model, not a curated record. The transcript has 3 exons.
AUCGUCGAAAAGGGGGCGGGGGCGGGGGGGGAGAUUGGGAAAGCGCAGUUUCAGGACGAAAGACAGCCAGUUUAUGGGCAGUCUUAAGAGGCUGCCAGCUGGCUAUUUAUUUUCAAACUUCUUUCGCCGUACAUUACAGCUGUAUGGGUCAUGAGGGGCGUCCCUUGUUGUCUUUUGUGUGUUUUCAAAGCCCGGACCCCAGCAGCACAGUGCAGUACGUCCAAGUCCAACUCUGCAGCCUGUGACUUGACGAACCCAAACAGCCACCCCAGACGCUUGUGCGCUUCAACAGGGUCAGUGCCCGACUGUAAUGGCUGUCUCCUGCUGCAGUUUCAGGAGGCACAGGUGGCUGCAGAGGAUCGCCAAAACUCUUUCCCCUCUUCAUAUGAUGGAAAACCUUGAUGCAUCAGUACAAGAGAUUUCCCGGCUUUUUAAAGGUGAAACUUGAAACCUUAUCAGUGGAGGAGGACCCUCUGAGAGAAAAAGGAAAACAGCAGUGAGCUUGAACCUGCACUGAUGCAAUUGCAGCAGGCCUAGCAAGACACUAACCUGUAUAAAAUGGAGACAGACACUUCAGAAAAUAGCUUACCACCUUCAAGAGAAAUACUUUGCUGUUGUAAAUCCAUAACAGCUAUACAAUCUGAUAAACCUAGGUUUAAAUAUCCUAUGUAUCAAUUUCCUGUUUUUUAACAAAUGAAAUUUCAGCCUGAUGACAUGACCCUUAUUGUGACAUCAAGGAAGCAUUAUUGUAAGAAAAGUCUAGAAAUUCUGCAAUGGUGAUAUUCAUUUAAGCUGAACAAGAAGAGAUAUGGAGUUAAAUGAAACAUUACAAUAACAAAUAUGUGCAACACACAGGUCUUUAUGAUAUUAUUCUAUUCAUAUAUUUAGGUGCAAGUCUUGUUGAGUUCAAUGGGACUUACUUCCAGGUAAAUUAAUAACCUAAGGCUGCAGUCAUAUGCACAAUUACUUGGGACUGACUUCCAAGUAGACAUGUGUAUAGGCUUGUUCUGCAUUUCAUGGAAACUCCAUUUGCUACCCCUAACAAUGAGAUCUGAGGUGGUCUGAGGUGCACCAAAUUAUUCAACUUGUUAAAAUUAAAUUGAUAGUAACAUUAUAUAUAGAAAUUGCAGUCUUGGGGAAUCUUACUCCUUUUACUUCUAUGGCAACAUUUUCAGAUUAUGUUAUCUGAAGACUGAAGGAUUAGGUUGUAAUCUUUAUAUUUAAAUAAAAUCUACUAAACCAUGCUUCUAAUUCAAUAAGAGUUGUACACACUGCAAGAAACACAGAGCAUGCAGAGCAAAUUCUCAGAGCUAUGGUUUCAUUUAUGGGAUCAACACCUGUGGUUUCAGGGCUGCUAUAAUGUAUGAAUGGAAUACCUGCACACACUGUAGCAGGUGCUUAGUAGAAAAGAAGCCUCUUCUGCUAAGAAGAAUUGCCCAAAUGUUUUUAUAUCACCAACUGUUAACAGUUGCUUAAUUUGAAAAUGAAUACUUCUGAGUUUAAAUCAGUUUGGUUUCUGUUUAAGAACUGGAUUGAAGUACUCUGUGAUCUAAUGCUGACUGAAAAACAGAAACAUUAUAUUUCUUUUUUAUUUUACAAAGUUUGGAAAUUGUCCUAAAACAAAACAAAACAAGAGACAGUGACUUUUGGAAUAUUAAUCUAUUGGAAUAUUAUUUUCUUAGAGCUUGACCUUUAACAGUCACUGGGAAUUUAACAUGGUUCAACACACAAACUCAUACAGCUUUAAAAAAACAACUUUGUUUUACAACACAUCCAUACAUUCUAGGUUGCUUUGAUUUUAUAUGAAUUUCAAAGUGAUUAGUUAAUUUAUACAGACUUUAUCACUUACCUCCUCUUCUUCCCU